GCCGGUGUAGCUCAGUGGCAGAGCAACGGUUUCGUAAACCGUAGGUCGUCGGUUCAAUCCCGACCACCGGCU
Molecule: transfer RNA, 72 nt
Filed under: Myxococcaceae bacterium
Lineage: Bacteria; Pseudomonadati; Myxococcota; Myxococcia; Myxococcales; Myxococcaceae
Description: tRNA-Thr
Rfam family: tRNA
About the family: Transfer RNA (tRNA) molecules are approximately 80 nucleotides in length. Their secondary structure includes four short double-helical elements and three loops (D, anti-codon, and T loops). Further hydrogen bonds mediate the characteristic L-shaped molecular structure. tRNAs have two regions of fundamental functional importance: the anti-codon, which is responsible for specific mRNA codon recognition, and the 3' end, to which the tRNAs corresponding amino acid is attached (by aminoacyl-tRNA synthetases). tRNAs cope with the degeneracy of the genetic code in two manners: having more than one tRNA (with a specific anti-codon) for a particular amino acid; and 'wobble' base-pairing, i.e. permitting non-standard base-pairing at the 3rd anti-codon position.
Source: RNAcentral